GACAGCCUGCUUGGUGUCAUAUUUACAUAGCUUGCUUGGUGAAAUUCUGUUUAUAGUGUCUCAUUAUUUAAGCCACCGAUCAUAGUUUAAUUUGUUAAACAAUAAGCAAUAAAAUCCUCCACUCUCAUUAUUUAAUUCUGUUUGGCAAUGGAGCUAGCUUCUCAUACAUCUAUCUUUUCAUUUAGCUAGCUAGCUAACUUGGUCCAUUUCAAUUAAACAUCUAUCUUUUCAUCUAUCUUCUCAUGCAUCUAAUUCUGUUUGGCAGUAAAUGUUGGUUAAGACGAGGAGCGAGUAGAGGAAGCAGCGUGGAUGGCCGGUGCGGCCAGACCUCUAGGCCACGCCGCAUGCGGCGGAGCCUGUGGGCGUCCGAAUCAAUUCGAAGGCGAGGCUGCUGUCUGGAUCCGGAGCACGGGCGGCGAAUGGAGCCACCACGUUCGUGCACUCUAGGAGUGAAUGGCAAGAUGAGGCUAUGGCAAAGGAUCUCAAAGGCCAUGGCGCUAGCUACUUAUGGGGACAACCACACCGUGUACUGUCUCGAUCUAAUUCACGUAACCACAUAUAUCAUUCAUGGAUUGGAGAGACGGUGCGAGGCCCAAGAUAAUCCACUUGAUAUUACAGGUAUAAUGAUGCAAUUCACACAAAUGACAAGCUUAUCAAGAUUGCCAGCGAGAUCUUGCACGAUUUGUUAUCUGGCUCAUCCUCAAGCCAAGUUUCCGACAGGGACAUGGCUGUACACUUGCGACUUCACCAGAAAUUUGUGUGCACAUACUCCACUGUCUGUCGAAACUUGGUCUGACCUGAGAGGUUGUAGCUCUGGCCGAGCUAGGCGAUAGGGAGGGCGGCGGGCGGCGGCGCACGGAUCUCGGCGGGGAACGGCUGCAUAGGUUGCAGCUCUGGCCGAGCUAUGCCAUGGGGAGGGCGGCGGCUUGCGGAUCUCGGCGGGAGACGGCUGGGUGCGGGGGCUUCGGCCCUCGGGGCUUCGAUCUGAUUACAGAAGAUGGGCGUUGACGAGGAGAUCUUCGUCGUGGACCUCAAGAAGGGCGUCGUCUUCACAGGUUGUCCCUACUAUCUAUACAGAUAUCAGGGGGCGAAAGAUUCACUCAAAUCAGUUUCUGUGACGGAGCACUUUAGAGAAGCAAUUGGCCUUCCAAGGCCCCCGCCCGGUGUAUAUUUCUUCUACGAAUUUUCGCCAAUUCAGGUUGAUUUUACUGAAGAAAACACAUCGCUUCUUCACUUCUUGACAAACAUAUGUGCGAUUCUUGGAGGAAUAUUCACCGUGGCUGGCAUCAUAGAUUCAUUUGUGUACCAUGGUCAUCGUGCAAUCAAGAAGAAGAUGGAGAUCGAAAAGCUCGGGUAGGGUAAUUCCAAGUGGAGCAGCUUGUAGCCAGCCAGCCAGUAGGACGGUAGCCAAGAACUGAGCUGCCCUGGAAAGGCGAGCACAGAGCUCAGGAGGAAUUUUGGUCAAGAAUACUAUAUUAUUGUAAUGCAGUUCCUACUCACUCGACUUUUGCUGGUAUAAUUAUUUGAUUCCAGACGUGCCAAUCAUAGAGGUUUAUUCUUUCUUACUCUCUUGUGUAAGCAACUGGAUCGCAGUGUUUGUCUUAUAGCAGUUCAAAGUCUUGUGUAACAAUACUACAUACACAAAACCCUCAACUCAAACGGUUGCUGAAAACUCCAUUUUGAUCUGUUCCGCUUCUGCCGUA
RNA transcript from Hordeum vulgare subsp. vulgare (domesticated barley), 1703 nucleotides. It is a transcript of the gene named endoplasmic reticulum-Golgi intermediate compartment protein 3-like, with no coding region annotated. The transcript has 8 exons. Lineage: Eukaryota; Viridiplantae; Streptophyta; Magnoliopsida; Poales; Poaceae. The record is from RefSeq and is a predicted model, not a curated record.